This is a long non-coding RNA of Tetranychus urticae (two-spotted spider mite), 1887 nucleotides long. RefSeq lists it as uncharacterized. The record is from RefSeq and is a predicted model, not a curated record. NCBI's taxonomy places the organism in Eukaryota, Metazoa, Arthropoda, Arachnida, Trombidiformes, Tetranychidae.
UCAUUAUUAUUUGUUCGUAAAAUGGAAGCAUAAUUUUUGUUUGGUCACAGAGGCAAUUGACAGCACGCUAUCAGCUAUUAAUACUAACGAAAUUGAUCGAUCUCUUUCCAUAACGUAGUUCUCUUGUUGUCUACCGAAUUGAAACAGACGACCAAACAGACUGUGAAUGAAGUCUUUCAAUCGAUUCUUAUCGAGUUGUUUAUUAAACAUGCUUAUAUGUUCAAUUAUAUGUAAAUCAUUAAACAGCGACAAGACUAAGGUUUUCUGCUUUUUCAAUAUUUAACGCGACAUCAACAUUAGGCAGUCAACUGAUUUACUGAUUUCCGAAAUUACACAAAAAAAGAUUGGCUUCCAUCUUUAAUUAAUUGUAAUGUAUCUUAAAGCGAAAAAUGUCUCUAAAUUUAUCCUUUUUAUUCCGUUAGAUGUCACCCAUCAAAAUCUUUGAACUUAACAUAUGGUAAUACAAAAUAUUUAUUAACGAAAGUUACAAUUAUUAUUAAACAUGUUCGUGACUCUGACUAAUUGUGAAUUUACUGUUAACUAGUCAAUAUAAUCCAAUGUCAAUCAAUGUUUGCUGUUCGUAGCGUUUUACUUGUGUCUUAAGUGUGUUUUGCUAUUCUAAGUUAAUUGCAUUUACAAGGAAAAAUCGAGUCAACUGUGAUUUUUAAAGUCUUAAAGUACUACAGGGAAUGGAUACAAGGAGAUUUUGCAAUGAAACUUGCAUUUAAAGCCAGGCCAAGUUAAACAUUUCACUCAAACCGGAGCAUUUAAAUUGAUGUCUUUUCCUUUCUCAUUUGAUUGGCAUCGAGCUUAAUCGUGUAAAUAUAAAAAUUGAAGCCUUUUGAAAGACGAAAGCUGAUUCUCUCUUUGGAUUCACUUAAACACUGAAAGUGAAAGUUUCAAUGAGGAACAGGACUUUCCAUCUAACGAUGAGAAUGAUAAUUUUCAAUUACCAAUGUUGAUAAGUGUUUGGUAAUAUUACAAAAGCAAAAGUGAGAUUAAAUUCCUAUUGAAUGAACGGUGGUAACAAGUAAACAAGCUGAUGAACAGAAUGCAGUUUAAUUGUGCUCAAUGGUUUGAGACAAAAGAGUCAAAUGGGAAAUGAUGAAAAUACACUUUGCAAUCAGAUGUAAUGUUCAAACAUAAAACAAGAAGACAAACACAGAGGAAGAGUUGAAAGCAAAAUGAUGCUGAUGGUGAUGAGAAGAAGAAAAAAAUUUGUAUUCAGAACCGAGGAUUGAACAUUUCUAUUCAUAGCAACUUUAUUGACCCUGACACGCUCAAGGAACCAUGACAGCAAAAUAUUGCCAUAAAAGUUGAUGAUAAACUAAAAAGAUGGCAAAGAUGGCGAUGAAGAUUGGAGCUGUUAAAAGUCGAAGGAGAAGAAGAAAAAAUUACAAAAAAAAAGAAUCUCGAUUUAUACUCAUUUCCCUCACAAUUCAACACUUGCUUCAGAUGGUAGAUGCUUUACCAUGAUGAACACUGAGUCCAUUAUUCAAUUGCAAGGGGCAAGUGGAUCAACAGCAAUUGAAACAUUUCCAAUAACCAUUACCAUGCCAUUGAAAUGUAUUAACACUCAACUCUUUGAUUAAUAAUUUCAAGUGAAAUGCACAGGGAGUGACUUUUAAUUAGAUAAGUUGCCUUGGUUCAAUGAUAAUAAAUCAAAAAUGGUAAACUUCAUAAUUCAAUCGUGAUUAACUCUGGACUCUUAUCAUUAUCCAAGACUGGAUCAGGCUAAAAUGGGAGCCAUUAAAGUGGAAAAAAACAAAACUGUUUUAAUAUUAAAUAAGAUUCAAUAAUUUGCUCUGUUAUUUCCUUAAAAUGGUUAACAUAAGCUAACAAAAAAUGGUUAUCCAUAAAGCAUUAAAACAGACAAAAAAAGGUGAA